AACGAACGCUGGCGGCAUGCCUAACACAUGCAAGUCGAACGAGACCUUCGGGUCUAUUGUCGCACGGGUGCGUAACGCGUGGGAACCUUCCCUUAGGUUCGGAAUAACUCCCCGAAAGGGGUGCUAAUACCGGACAAUGUCUUCGGACCAAAGAUUUAUCGCCUUUGGAUGGUCCCGCGUUGGAUUAGCUGGUUGGUAGGGUAAAAGCCUACCAAGGCGACGAUCCAUAGCUGGUCUGAGAGGAUGAUCAGCCACACUGGGACUGAGACACGGCCCAGACUCCUACGGGAGGCAGCAGUGGGGAAUAGUGGACAAUGGGCGAAGGGCUGAUCCAGCUAUGCCGCGUGAGUGAUGAAGGCCUUGGGGAUGUAAAGCUCUUUUAACCGGGAUGAUAAUGACAGUACCGAGAGAGUAAGCUCCGGCUAACUCCGUG
This 433-nucleotide ribosomal RNA is filed under the name uncultured bacterium. RNAcentral's name for it is "partial 16S ribosomal RNA". It matches the Rfam family "Bacterial small subunit ribosomal RNA", at positions 29 to 507 of the family's 1533-position model. The record is from RNAcentral.